GACGAACCGUGCGAACGUUGUUCGGAAUCACUGGGCUUAAAGGGCGCGUAGGCGGGUCAUCAAGUCAGGGGUGAAAUCCUCCAGCUCAACUGGGGAACUGCCUUUGAUACUGGUGGUCUUGAGUGGGGUAGGGGCAUGCGGAACAAUGGGUGGAGCGGUGAAAUGCGUUGAUAUCCAUUGGAACUCCGGUGGCGAAAGCGGCGUGCUGGACCUCUACUGACGCUGAUGCGCGAAAGCCAGGGGAGCAAACGGG
This 253-nucleotide ribosomal RNA is filed under the name uncultured bacterium. RNAcentral describes it as "partial 16S ribosomal RNA". It matches the Rfam family "Bacterial small subunit ribosomal RNA", at positions 524 to 776 of the family's 1533-position model. The record is from RNAcentral.